RNAcentral lists this ribosomal RNA (376 nucleotides) under uncultured bacterium. RNAcentral's name for it is "bacterial SSU rRNA". It matches the Rfam family "Bacterial small subunit ribosomal RNA", at positions 524 to 898 of the family's 1533-position model. The record is from RNAcentral.
UACGAAAUGUGCGAGCGUUGUUCGGAAUUACUGGGCAUAAAGGGUCCGUAGGUGGUUUUGUAAGUCGGGUGUGAAAUCCCUCGGCUCAACCGAGGAAUUGUUUCCGAUACUGCAAGACUUGAGGGCGAAAGGGGCAAGUGGAAUUCCGGGUGUAGCGGUGGAAUGCGUAGAUAUCCGGGAGAACGCCGAAAGAGAAGUCAGCUUGCUGGGUCGCUUCUGACACUGAGGGACGAAAGCUAGGGGAGCAAACAGGAUUAGAUACCCUGGUAGUCCUAGCCGUAAACGAUGGGUACUUUGUAUCGGAGGGCCUGAUCCCUUCGGUGCCGGAGUUAACGCGUUAAGUACCCCGCCUGGGGAGUAUGGUCGCAAGGCUAAA